This 402-nucleotide long non-coding RNA is filed under the name Ananas comosus (pineapple). RNAcentral describes it as "long non-coding RNA (ACOM_LNC017205)". Lineage: Eukaryota; Viridiplantae; Streptophyta; Magnoliopsida; Poales; Bromeliaceae. The record is from RNAcentral.
UUUUAGGUUCCAAAUUGUAUAAUUUUUUGAGAUCAUUUGCUUAUUAGUUAAGUAUUCUGAAAAUUAACUAAGUUUUUGACUGAUAUAAGAUAAAUUUGAAAUUAUCUGAUUACUGGACAAAUAAUAUUAAGAAGUUACAAAAUUAGAGUGAUAGAAAGUUUACUUAAUUUAAAUCAUGUUUAAUGAUACCAAUAAUCAAGUCGAAUAUCCCAACGUUAAAAUAUUGUGAAAGUGAACAUAUCUAUCUUUAUCACUUAUUACUGAUGUAUAAACAAUGAAAUAAUAUUAAAACUAUAGAUCCGGUAUAAUAAACAAAAUUGCUGACCAAAUCCAUCAAAAAUAAUAUAUUGACAGAGUUAAUUUUAUUACGAACAAACAAAAUUUAUUGACUAUAAUCAAUGU